CCCAGGGGACGUGGAUAACCUCGGGAAACUGAGGAUAAACCAUGAUAGGCCAAGAUUUCUGGAAUGGAUCAUGGCUAAAACCUAUAUGGCCCCUGGAUUGGACUGCGGCCGAUCAGGCUGUUGGUGAGGUAAUGGCCCACCAAACCUGUAACCGGUACGGGCUCUGAGAGGAGGAGCCCGGAGAUGGGCACUGAGACAAGGGCCCAGGCCCUAUGGGGCGCAGCAGGCGCGAAACCUCUGCAAUAGGCGAAAGCUUGACAGGGUUACUCUGAGUGACGUCCGUUAAGGACGUCUUUUGGCACCUCUAAAAAUGGUGCAGAAUAAGGGGUGGGCAAGUCUGGUGUCAGCCGCCGCGGUAAUACCAGCACCCCGAGUGGUCGGGACGAUUAUUGGGCCUAAAGCAUCCGUAGCCGGUUCUGCAAGUCCUCCGUUAAAUCCACCUGCUCAACAGAUGGGCCGCGGAGGAUACUACAGGGCUAGGAGGCGGGAGAGGCAAGCGGUACUCAGUGGGUAGGGGUAAAAUCCUCUGAUCCACUGAAGACCACCAGUGGCGAAGGCGGCUUGCCAGAACGCGCUCGACGGUGAGGGAUGAAAGCUGGGGGAGCAAACCGGAUUAGAUACCCGGGUAGUCCCAGCUGUAAACGAUGCAGACUCGGUGAUGGGUUGGCUUUGAGCCAACCCAGUGCCGCAGGGAAGCCGUUAAGUCUGCCGCCUGGGGAGUACGGUCGCAAGACUGAAAC
This 740-nucleotide ribosomal RNA is filed under the name uncultured archaeon. RNAcentral's name for it is "bacterial SSU rRNA". It matches the Rfam family "Archaeal small subunit ribosomal RNA", at positions 112 to 855 of the family's 1478-position model. The record is from RNAcentral.